AUCGCUUCUUGGCCUUUUGGCUAAGAUCAAGUGUAUUAUUUAUU
Molecule: small nuclear RNA, 44 nt
Filed under: Cervus elaphus hippelaphus
Lineage: Eukaryota; Metazoa; Chordata; Mammalia; Artiodactyla; Cervidae
Rfam family: U2 spliceosomal RNA
About the family: U2 is a small nuclear RNA (snRNA) component of the spliceosome (involved in pre-mRNA splicing). Complementary binding between U2 snRNA (in an area lying towards the 5' end but 3' to hairpin I) and the branchpoint sequence (BPS) of the intron results the bulging out of an unpaired adenosine, on the BPS, which initiates a nucleophilic attack at the intronic 5' splice site, thus starting the first of two transesterification reactions that mediate splicing.
Source: RNAcentral